Non-coding RNA from Rattus rattus (black rat), 438 nucleotides. The record is from the annotation of a RefSeq genome assembly. NCBI's taxonomy places the organism in Eukaryota, Metazoa, Chordata, Mammalia, Rodentia, Muridae.
AUGGGUACAAGGCUGCUCUGCUGUGUAGCAUUUUGUCUGCUUGGGGCAGGUUCCUUUGUUGCUGAAGUAACCCAGACUCCAAGAUACCUGGUCAAAGAGAAAGGACAGAAAGUAAAUAUGAGCUGUAGUCCUGAAAAGGCCCAUACUGCCUUUUACUGGUAUCAACAGAACCAGAAAAAAGAACUUACAUUUUUGAUUAAUUUUCGAAAGGUAGACAUUAUUGACCAAACAGACUUGGUCAAGAAGAGAUUCUCAGCUCAGUGUGUCCCAGGCUUACACUGCACCCUGGAGAUCCCAUCCUCUGAAGAAGGAGACUCAGCAUUGUACUUCUGUGCCAGUAGUCUGUACACAGCACUGAAAUGUACAUCCCCCUCUGUGCAUAAACUGGUGUGGACACAACUCAGGAAGUGGGUGAUGCCAGAAACUGGAGGACAGUAA